RNAcentral lists this long non-coding RNA (362 nucleotides) under Zea mays. RNAcentral's name for it is "long non-coding RNA (ZMAY_LNC005530)". The record is from RNAcentral. Lineage: Eukaryota; Viridiplantae; Streptophyta; Magnoliopsida; Poales; Poaceae.
UUACAUGUGUCCAUUGUGUGUUCUAUUUGGAUAGAAAAGGCAUUUAACACAAACAUGGAACUAAACAAAAGGAAUGCAUGCGCUAACUUCUCAUGUUGCUCUCUACAUGUCCGUCUCCAAGGAGAAGCCUUGCACCUUCGUCAAAGUGAGAUUGUCUCAACCUGCACAAAAUACAAGCCCCAUUAUAGUUAAGUGCGAAAGAGAAAUAACCAGAACCACACAGUGUGAAUUUAGUCCUCUAACCUUCAUGGUGAAGAAGAGCUUGACAAAAUUCUGGGUGAGGAGCCCAAGGGACUUUUCCUUCACAGAUGUCAGUUUUCUACAGAAAUUCAUAUAAAUUUGGGCCAAGUUUCUCACAAACA